This is an RNA transcript of Nothobranchius furzeri (turquoise killifish), 1483 nucleotides long. It is a transcript of the gene named migration and invasion inhibitory protein, with no coding region annotated. The record is from RefSeq and is a predicted model, not a curated record. Lineage: Eukaryota; Metazoa; Chordata; Actinopteri; Cyprinodontiformes; Nothobranchiidae.
AAUACAAAACUAGCACAAGUCAGGUUUAUGGCGGUGUGAAAAGUAGCUCUGUUUUCUGGAACGUCUAUUUUAGGAUGUCCGCAGAUCGAUUAGAUGAUUUGCGAGAGCGUAACAAACGUCUGCUGGAGCAGCUGCAGCAGCAAAGAGUGAAUUUAGAGCAAAUCAGCGGCUGCAGCGAGAGCCGCAAGAGGGGGAGAGAGGCCGAGGUGACGGUGACUCGAACGGACGGAGACCGUGCUCCUGCCAGGGCAGCCCUAGCUAAACCUUCCGUGAGAUUUGCCGAUACCCUUGAGCUACACGAGGAAAACCAAAACACUAUUUACUCUCCAUCUGGGACUUCCAAAUCCAGAGGAGCAACGCCUAAAUGCAGGACACAACACAGAAACAGAAAUGUCCCAAUCAGGCUGCAGGACACACAGGAUCCACUCUGGUCCAGUCAAGCUGGACAAAACAAAGACCAGGGGGAGGUCCAAAGACAAGUAGCAUUUCAGUCUGAUGAAGAAGAGGAUGCUGCUGCCUUAUUCAGUCAUCGUUUGCAGCCUUUACUAGGAUACGACUGGAUAGCAGGAGUUUUGGAUACAAAGGACACGCUGGUGGAACAAUCUGAUGAGUUCUUCAAAGAUCUUUGUGUGUUUCGAUCGCUCUAUAAGGAUGAAUGUAUCCAUGAUUCAAAAGCAGAGCGCUUUGAGGAGAACCAUCUGUUCCCUCCAGUCCUGACAGAUAAAGACCACCAGGAAGCAAAUUCAGAAUCCCAUCAGUGUACCUUCUCUUACAGGAUUAACAGCAGACUGUUUCCAGUUCCACUUCACUCCCAGGAGUGCUGCCCAGUGUGCAAAAAGCAUAAAUCAUCCCACCCUCACACUGCUGCUGAGCCUGCUCUUAUCAGGGUCAGCAUUCCUCGCACCGCCCUCCUGCAGCCCUAUAAGUACAAAGCUCAUCGGCGGUGCAGCUUCGACCCUUCUGACAGUUUGGGAUUACCAUCGCAUUGCCUCUCAGGCUCGUCGAACACGGGUCAGAACACCCUGAGACCGCCCGGCAGCCUUGACCUCCGGAGCAGUCUCGAGACAAGGAGCUCUGAGAACUCAUCAAAUGCAGAACUGCAGUUUCAAGCUGUGACUGAAAAACAACACAUUUGGGACUACGACUUCGAAAAGAUCACAAGAAGUUGAGGCAGAAUUUUUAUUUUCACACCUGAUUUGUUUUAAUAUAAACCAAUCACUGUCAACGAGAACAACGACCUCUCUGCAUCCAAAAGAGACGGAAACGUAAAGAUGGCUGAUGUGUCUCGCAUGGCUCGACACAACUUCCAACACUUCCUGCCAAGGAGAAAUCUGAGAACCAAAACUUAUCCUGAAUACUGAGAAAUCAUAGUUUUAGCCCCAAGCUCACGUUUAAAGAGAGCUUUUCCUUUUUGGUAGUUUUUUACAUAUUAAGUAGAAUUCUUAGAAACAAAUAAUAAAGUGAACCAAACAUUAGAAGCAGA